This is an RNA transcript of Uranotaenia lowii, 2700 nucleotides long. It is a transcript of the gene named tetraspanin-13, with no coding region annotated. Lineage: Eukaryota; Metazoa; Arthropoda; Insecta; Diptera; Culicidae. The record is from RefSeq and is a predicted model, not a curated record. The transcript has 6 exons.
GAAGUGAAAAGAUCGAAGCUUGCUGCACCAGAGGUGAAAAUUUUGCUCCUGCGGAAAAAAAGAUCCUGAUUAGUUUUGCGGAAAAGUAGCUCCGUUUCUCGGUUAGGUUUAGAUUUAAGUGAACGGAAAUCGCAUCUGGUCGGGGGAAUCGUAACCACAACGAAUGGUAUCCACAAUGUGCGGAGGAUUUAGCUGCUCGAAAAAUGCAUUGAUUGCACUGAACAUCCUCUAUGUCAUGGUCGGCUUUCUGCUGAUCGGAGUCGGAGUGUAUGGACGGGCUUCUUCCAUCGUAACGAAUCUACCGAUAAUCGGAGGGAUUCUGGCCUGUGGCGUAAUUCUGAUCCUGAUUUCCGUUCUUGGACUGAUUGGAGCGGUCAAACAUCACCAGGUUAUGCUGUUCUUCUACAUGAUAAUCCUGUUCAUGUUGUUCCUAAUUCAAUUUUCGAUUGCCUGCUCCUGUUUGGCUGUUAACGGAGAACAGCAGCGUCAAUUUGCCGAACAGGGUUGGUCUCUGGCCCCAGUUGAUAUCAAGCAGCAGGUACAGGACGAAUUUGUCUGCUGUGGGUUCAACUCGACGGCCACCGACGAUCAUCCUUCCUGUGCGAAGGUCAACACUCUGUGCUGCUCAACGGAUGCCCCGGAGAACUGCCAGUGUCCUCCCUGCAUGCCCAAGCUCGAGAGUACCAUCGACUAUGCGUUCCGUUUGUCUGGCGGAAUCGGGUUAUUCUUCAGCUUCACCGAGUUUAUCGGUGUCUGGCUGACCGUGCGCUACCGCAACCAAAAAGAUCCCCGCGGCAAUCCGAGUGCUUUCCUCUAAGAUUGGGACGAUCCCGUAACGGAGCUUUAAGUGGUUCAGUUCGAUUAGACUUCAGCUAAGUUUUUUUCUACCUCGGUUCCAAUCGAAUUCAAGCAAAAUGCGCGCUUCUUUCUGGAAAAGUUAUACCCAAAACCAUAAAAGUUGAAAAUCGAACAAGGAGAAUCGUAUCGAAAGCAUUCCAUAUGUACAACCAUGAUUAUUGCCGUGUUUUUGACCCGCCGCUACCGCAAUCAGCAGGAUCCGGACCAUCUACCGGCGCGGGCUAUCUUCCCCCAAAGCAACUACGUCUACUGAGUUGAGUGAAUAAGAUCCAAAAACAAAAAACAGUUGUUAGUUCAUCUACUCACCGGUAGAUGCCAUCUAGAGCGGUGAUGGUGUUUUUUCUUCAAAGAAUAACUCGCUGAAAACCCAAAAAAAAACAUAGAAGAGAAUAGAGAACACAAACAUCUUCAGCAAAACGAACGGGGAAAUGUUUGUGUCCGAACUGAACAAUACUCAUAGUUUACAGUUUACUUCUGGUCGAAUUUAUAGGAACCCAAACGAAAAAAAACUAGGAAACAAGAAAAAAAUGGUUGUGCUACUUUGUAUAAUGGAUUCGGAAAGUUUAGUGAAUUUUUGUUUACUUUUUCAAAUAUGGAACGAGUAGGCCCCAUUAUUUUCGGGAAAUCAAUAUCAGUUUAGUUUUGGUUAAGUUGUGCUUUAGCUUCUGAAUUGCUAAAUCGUUUGUUUUAAAAAUAUUGACUUGAAUCGAUUGCUAUUAAUCUUAACUACUAAGUAUAUUGUUUAAAAAAUAUACCCUUUGAAUCUACUUUAUGUCGUCUUGAAAACAACUUUUGGAAAAAAAAAACAUAAAAUAACAUUUAACUUUUUCUUACUAGUGGAAGAUAGAUGGCGCAUUGCUUUUCCUCUGCUCAUCGGUAGAAAUUUGAUCACUAAUUUAACAAAACAUACACACACUUGCAAACCGGUAUCACCUUUGGCUGCCUCGUGUAUACGUAAAAACUCUAAUUAAACUAAACACAAUCUUUUUCGAAACACCGUUGAGCAAAGACCAAUCGCUAGAAGAGCAAAAAAAAGUCUUAAUACCUAUUAUGAAGAACAAUGUAAAAAUUGAAACUAAAUGCAGCUGGCUUUAUUGUUUGUGAUAGUAUAGGUAAAAUUCGAUAUAAACUAAAGAAGAAAAAAAAAAACAUACACACACGUAGUUAUUUUUAAGCUUUAAAAAUCGGAUUUAUUUUGCUCAACCUGAAGUUUGUUUUAUUUUUCUGCUUAGUUCGUUUGAACAAAUCCUGCAUCACUAUUUAUUCUAGCACUGAGAUCCCCUCCCCUUCAAAGUAAAAAGAAUCUCCUAUGCAAAAACAGCAACUUAUUCCGUUUCCGUUUUUCCUUUCUAUUGUAUGUCUGCUAUUAGAGAUUACUGUUGUUACGAGUCAGGAAACAAUUUACACUUAAUAAAUGUGCGAUCAACCCGCGUAAUAGUCAUUUAAAAAAACCCUAAGGCAGAAAAAAAGAUCUCUCUCUAGCGCGGGCGUAAAAAUAAUGGAGGCAAAGAACUGUGCUAGAUUAAAAAAAUAUCUAUAAAACAUAAAUUGUAUGAAUAAAAUUAAAAAAAAAAAAUAAAUAAAAAAAACCGGAUACAACAUCAAGCUAAGCGUAGUGAAUCGUAAAGUAAAACAACUUACUAAGUAUAGCUACGAUCUACAAUUGUAAUCUAUCUGUAAUAGUUUACCAGCUGAUCGAAUUUGAGUUUCUACUUAUAAAAACUACAUUUAACCAUGGGAAGUGUGAUGCAUUGAAUAAAAUAUGUAAUAAAAAAAUAUAUUCUAUAUAUACACCCAAAAAACUCACUCACACUGAUUAGGUGUAAGCCAGUAAAAAAUCAA